UAAGACGAAUGCAUUAGUAAUACUGAAUUCAUACACGACGGAGAACCAGAGUUUUCAGUAGUUUUCGGUAGUUUUCGUAAAAGGUUAAUAUUUAUAACGGUGUUGUAUUAUAUAUCUACCAGAUGAAUUACUCUACCGCGUCGUUUCGAACGUAUUUUCCACUGUUCUUAUUCAGGAGCUUCCUCUGGCGAGACUGCAGAGCCCUAGCCUAGUACUGGUGAAACCCAGGAAGCAUAAUUAAGUGAAUCUUUGCAUUAAUAUAUGAGCUAACAGCAAAGAGCAGCUGCUCUUUAAGGGCAGGCAGCAGAAUUGUUGAAUGUCAACACAAGUGACAGGAGUACACAAUACCAUCAUCUGCAUCAGUAACCUCUG
This is a long non-coding RNA of Dreissena polymorpha, 372 nucleotides long. RefSeq lists it as uncharacterized. The transcript has 3 exons. The record is from RefSeq and is a predicted model, not a curated record. NCBI's taxonomy places the organism in Eukaryota, Metazoa, Mollusca, Bivalvia, Myida, Dreissenidae.